UCUUUGACCCCGGAGAGGAGGGAAGACACGGACCGGAACACGGAGCGGAUCAGAGGCAGAUGGGAGGCUCUGAGCAGGGCACUGGUCUGAAACGGGUCAGAGAGCCGUCACAGCAAGAACCAGAACCAGAGCUCUGAAGAGAAACAAAAUGGACAUCACAGGUCUUCAUCUACACCAGAACCAGGCAGGACGGUCAGAACUACCAGAACCAAUGAGGAGACUUCAGAGGCCUUCAUGACUCCAGAACCAGAACCGGAUUAAAUCACCUCGUAAAGAUUCA
Long non-coding RNA from Gambusia affinis (western mosquitofish), 280 nucleotides. RefSeq lists it as uncharacterized. Lineage: Eukaryota; Metazoa; Chordata; Actinopteri; Cyprinodontiformes; Poeciliidae. The record is from RefSeq and is a predicted model, not a curated record. The transcript has 2 exons.